Molecule: ribosomal RNA, 500 nt
Filed under: uncultured bacterium
Lineage: Bacteria
Description: partial 16S ribosomal RNA
Rfam family: Bacterial small subunit ribosomal RNA
Source: RNAcentral
AUUGAACGCUGGCGGCAUGCCUUACACAUGCAAGUCGAACGGUAACGGGUCCUUCGGGAUGCCGACGAGUGGCGAACGGGUGAGUAAUAUAUCGGAACGUGCCCAGUAGUGGGGGAUAACUGCUCGAAAGAGCAGCUAAUACCGCAUACGACCUGAGGGUGAAAGGGGGGGAUCGCAAGACCUCUCGCUAUUGGAGCGGCCGAUAUCAGAUUAGCUAGUUGGUGGGGUAAAGGCCUACCAAGGCAACGAUCUGUAGUUGGUCUGAGAGGACGACCAGCCACACUGGGACUGAGACACGGCCCAGACUCCUACGGGAGGCAGAAGGGGGGAAUUUUGGACAAUGGGCGCAAGCCUGAUCCAGCAAUGCCGCGUGCAGGAAGAAGGCCUUCGGGUUGUAAACUGCUUUUGUCAGGGAAGAAAUCUUCUGGGCUAAUACCCCGGGAGGAUGACGGUACCUGAAGAAUAAGUACCGGCUAACUACGUGCCAGCAGCCGCGGUAA